GGUGUUUGGAGAUACACUGUCAAGGUGACUAAUAAACUUUCUUACUUUUACAAUGUACAAUGCAUAUAUAAGUUAAUAUUAUGUACUUCUGUGUUAGGAAAGUGCGCCUUUGCUUUGGUCUUGCUGUUGUUAUGAGGUCCAUUUGUAAAGAGCACGGUCCCAUCCUUCCAUUAUCAUGGUCCCAUUAGGUAAAUGAAGUUACUAUAGUUGAGAGCAUGGAUAUGCCCCUUCCAAAGCUCUAUGCUAGCUUCUUUGUUUUAUAGUAUUUAACAAAAUUCUUCAUCAACAGUUUGAAUACUUGUUUGUUUUAUAGUAUUUCGCAGAAUUCUUCAUCAACAGUUAGAAUAACAAUGUCCUAAGCAAUUUGGAUGACUCAUAUUAUUGAAUCGAUCCAUGUUUAAGCUAAAUUGUUAUGGAUUGAACUUUGAGGAGCUCAAUCCAUAUAGCUAAAUUGAUGUUAUUUAGUUACGAAAUUAGAGAAAAGUGGGAUGCUCCUUUUCUGACUAGGUGCAUACUUUCACUUGAUUUCUAUAUUUUAAAUGCUCCCCGCCUGUUGCUAAGAACAUAUAGCCAUGUGAUUUUUCUUGCUAAUUUUCUGUCAUUUAAGAGUUCUAUUUUGCUCUGUUCCUAUAGUAACCAUUUGGGACUUGGAUACAAAGUUUUGUCCUGGGCGGUUGAAUUUAUAAGGACAUGAUAUCUUGCCAUUAUGCAACCUAUACCAUGCUUGUGUCAUGGCAGUAUUAACCCCUCCAUCUACUCUUUGUUGCUGAAGAAACCAGUAGUUGUAUUCAUUGCAUGUCAGCUGGUCUACGACUUCCAUAAGUUUGCAUCAUUUUUUUUGAGUACUUUGCUGUUAGUAACUUCAACAAGACUAUAAAAAAAUGUUGGAUCUACAGGGGGCAACACAUAACCAGCGAUAAUGAGGUGCCGUUGGCCAUGGGUGCAGUUGUCCACAGCUAGGGGUGGGAUUGUUAGUUUGUUACAACAUAUGGAUGAUAUGCACAUGGAAGGUGCUCUAAUAAUCCCCACUAUUAUUUAUUUGUAUCAUCUGCUAAUGGUUUUGUAUUUGAAAAUGAAUAUUAUCCUUGUUUCUUAUAUACGCAGGCUGAUAUAAACAAGCUAUAAUUGUUUGGGCUAUGAUUCGCAACAUAGAUUGGGGAUUUUAAAAUGUCAGACAAGAAAGUUAUCGGCCUAGUAGGUUCAGAUUCAGUUCUAUUUUUUAAAAUUUUCUUUUCUGUUACAAAAUCAUUUUUUGAUACUUUUCUCCCUUUUAUGUCAUAAAUCAGAUAAGUAUCUCAGUGUUUUAUAUGCAAUGUUACACAUUUGUUCAAGACAAAAAAAAAUUCAUAUAUUGAGUUUACUUACAAACCUUUGGUUGAGAUGAAAGUUUACAUCUGAUGUCAUUCCACUAGGACUCUGAAAUAGUCCCAAAAAAUGUUGUAUUACCUCUCUCUUGGUAACUAAUAUUUGUAUGGUGUGAUUUCUGGAAUUCACGAUCUAAGAUCUAAAUAGUCUGAUUCAUGUUGUCAAUAUCUUAUCGAGGUCUUGACUGACUAAUCUUGAGUAUGAUUUUAUUUGGUUUGGUGUUUAUAUUAUGUAAUGCUCAAGUCUUUCACCUGAAAAUAUUAUUAAUUGAUCGAAUUAAUCUAAGUUUAGUUCUUGAUGAUUAUUUUGUGGGACUAGAAAACAAAGUUUUUAUGUUUGUACUUUGUAGGAAUUAUUAUUAAUGAAGUAUUCUUUCUUCUUAUCUCUCAUUGGUUUUGCUUGUUAGAACAACAAUUGUCAUUACAAAGCAUCUCUAUGUCUCUCUCUAACCGUUACUAUUUCCACUGUCUUGGCUUGCAGGUCGUCGCUUGAGUCGGAUGAGGUCAUGGUUACUUUACCUGAUGAGUUACUGCCCAGGAAGAGCACAAUCCACCACCGCUAUAUAGCAGAUGGAGCUACCAAGGACGUCGUCAUAUUGACCACCGAUGACCUACAUCCUUUCGCUUCCCCUCAUGUUUUGCAGAAUAGAAGUGGCCUGAAAGCCACUUGAAUGAAAUCUUGUGUCUUGCGAUGUGUCAAUGCCAUGAAUUAGAUGUUUGUAGUAUAUUUUUUUAAUUGAAAUGUUUACCUGUGAUAUUGAGCACAGUACAUUAGUGCAUGGAUCAGCAUUGCAGUUUCAACUCUUUUGAUGUAUGGUGAUCUAUGUUUUGUGCAGACUAACAAGGCUUUGUAGUGAAUUUUUAUAGGUCACAUGCGACAAGUUGCCCUUCGUAUGUUAAUCUUGAUACUUUGUACUGAAUUUUUAUGCGAACCAUUUAUUUGUCCGGAUUGUCUUAUAUCGUAAAUCUUGAUGUCUUCUGCUAAAUCUUGAUGCUCUCUG
This 2365-nucleotide long non-coding RNA is filed under the name Triticum aestivum (bread wheat). Its description in RNAcentral is "long non-coding RNA (TAES_LNC003855)". The record is from RNAcentral. Lineage: Eukaryota; Viridiplantae; Streptophyta; Magnoliopsida; Poales; Poaceae.